This 473-nucleotide ribosomal RNA is filed under the name uncultured bacterium. RNAcentral's name for it is "bacterial SSU rRNA". It matches the Rfam family "Bacterial small subunit ribosomal RNA", at positions 335 to 801 of the family's 1533-position model. The record is from RNAcentral.
ACUCCUACGGGAGGCAGCAGUAGGGAAUCUUCCACAAUGGGCGCAAGCCUGAUGGAGCAACACCGCGUGAGUGAAGAAGGGUUUCGGCUCGUAAAGCUCUGUUGUUAAAGAAGAACACGUAUGAGAGUAACUGUUCAUACGUUGACGGUAUUUAACCAGAAAGUCACGGCUAACUACGUGCCAGCAGCCGCGGUAAUACGUAGGUGGCAAGCGUUAUCCGGAUUUAUUGGGCGUAAAGAGAGUGCAGGCGGUUUUCUAAGUCUGAUGUGAAAGCCUUCGGCUUAACCGGAGAAGUGCAUCGGAAACUGGAUAACUUGAGUGCAGAAGAGGGUAGUGGAACUCCAUGUGUAGCGGUGGAAUGCGUAGAUAUAUGGAAGAACACCAGUGGCGAAGGCGGCUACCUGGUCUGCAACUGACGCUGAGACUCGAAAGCAUGGGUAGCGAACAGGAUUAGAUACCCUGGUAGGAUAGCC